UUCCAGACUCCUACGGGAGGCAGCAGUGGGGGAUAUUGCACAAUGGGGGGAACCCUGAUGCAGCGACGCCGCGUGGGUGAAGGAGUAUUUCGGUAUGUAAAGCCCUAUCGGCAGGGAAGAAGAAAGACGGUACCUGACUAAGAAGCCCCGGCUAACUACGUGCCAGCAGCCGCGGUAAUACGUAGGGGGCGAGCGUUAUCCGGAUUCACUGGGUGUAAAGGGAGCGUAGACGGCCAAGCAAGCCAGGGGUGAAAGCCCGGGGCCCAACCCCGGGACUGCCCUUGGAACUGCAUGGCUGGAGUGCGGGAGGGGCAGGCGGAAUUCCUGGUGUAGCGGUGAAAUGCGUAGAUAUCAUGAAGAACUCCGAUCGCGAAGGCAAGUGUCCGGGGUGCAACUGACGCUGAGGCUCGAAAGUGCGGGUAUCAAACAGGAUUAGAUACCCUCGUA
Molecule: ribosomal RNA, 447 nt
Filed under: uncultured bacterium
Lineage: Bacteria
Description: partial 16S ribosomal RNA
Rfam family: Bacterial small subunit ribosomal RNA
Source: RNAcentral